ACCAGACUGCAUGUCAGCAGGAUUGGAGGGUUGACUCUCAAGAAUUGUGAAUUUGGUACCCAGGAAAUUAGACCUGAGGAGGCAAAGGAAACCAUAAUCAAUCAAAUUCGGAAUUCUUGAAUUAGAAAAGCACAGCGAGGGAACAAAGUGACAAGCAAGGUAAUGAAAAGCAAUACCUCAUUUUUCCAACAAAAGUGUUACUGGCUUG
RNAcentral lists this long non-coding RNA (208 nucleotides) under Linum usitatissimum (flax). RNAcentral's name for it is "long non-coding RNA (LUSI_LNC000092)". The record is from RNAcentral. Lineage: Eukaryota; Viridiplantae; Streptophyta; Magnoliopsida; Malpighiales; Linaceae.